UGACCAAAACAGACCGCGCACGCGUCAUCCAUCCUGCCGGCGAUGACAACGUUCAUCGCUYGGCUUAUUCCUCGACAACCUCCUCUCCUCGGAGUGGGGGCUCGGGGUAAAAGAACCCACGACGCCUAAGGCGUCAAGGAACACUGUGCCUAGCUCGGGGACGUGGCUGGCUUGCUGGCUGCCCCCCGUGCUGCAAUGCUAUAUAAUCCACACGACUCUCGGCAACGGAUAUCUCGGCUCUCGCAUCGAUGAAGAACGUAGCGAAAUGCGAUACCUGGUGUGAAUUGCARAAUCCCGCGAACCAUCGAGUCUUUGAACGCAAGUUGCGCCCGAGGCCAUUCGGCCGAGGGCACGCCUGCCUGGGCGUCACGCCAAACACGCUCCCACUCCCUCAUCAGGGAGCGGGAUGCGGCAUGUGGUCCCCCGUCGCGCAAGGGGCGGUGGGCCGAARAUAUGGCUGCCGGCGUAUCGUGUCGGACACAGCGCGUGGUGGGCGAACUCGCUUUACUUACCGCAGUGCAUCAGACACGUAGCCGACGUGAUGGCCUUGAAGGACCCUCGUAACGGUGCGCAUGACGCUCCGACC
RNAcentral lists this unclassified non-coding RNA (586 nucleotides) under Amphibromus nervosus. RNAcentral describes it as "sequence contains ITS1, 5.8S rRNA gene, ITS2". The record is from RNAcentral. Lineage: Eukaryota; Viridiplantae; Streptophyta; Magnoliopsida; Poales; Poaceae.